CUGAGCUCUAGUUUACCUUGUCUUUGCUUUAUUCUGUCUACAAAGAAACGGAAGGCUGACUUCCUGUUUAGACCUUCCCGUUUCAGUGCCAAAUUGAAGUAAAUUUUUAAGUCCAAUUCCUUUCUGCUCGCAAGUCCUUAUUUAAAGUCCAAUUGUCCGAAAUUUAAGUACUCACGGGUGAUUAUUUUAGAAGCCAAAUUGUCCCAGGAAAAAGGCAGCACUCUCCGGCAACGGCUAUGCGGCUUCGCUCCACGGAAAAAGCAGUUGACUCUCAGCACCGCGCCACUUCCCCCUCUUCGCUUCGGAGCCCGUUAGUGGGUUCCUUUGCGGGUUGGGGGGGCGCUAAGGGUGCCCGCUGAGUCCCAUGGUCACAGGCUUCAUCCGCCUGUGAUUUUUGAAAGGGUCCCCGUUUCGCCGUAGCGGAAAAGACCCGUUUCGCGCGGAGCUAGUCCCUCCAGAUCAGAGGGAGUCCGCCAUUGCCGAUGGCGCCACCCUGGAAGUCUUCAAGAUUUGUUGGGGUGUUAAUGCUGUGAGUCACUCUGUCCUGUUCUCAGGGUGUGGGUGUGUGUCUGGAGUCUCACAUCACUCAGAGAUAUUGGUGGCAUGUAAUGAUACAUUAGGGGGGCAGGAAAAAAAGACUGUAACAGUCAUAACUGCAUGAACUUGGAGAAGCAAAUCAAACUUCCACCAACGGAUUUAUUAAAUAAACAUGAUUCCUGCAUGGCAGGGGGUUGGGCUAGAUGACUCUUUGGGUCCCUUUAAAGUCUACAGUUCUAUGAUUAUAUGAAAAAUAUUUAUGUUUGAACUGACUCAGCAGCAUAGAUGCGACAGAGAGCCUGCCCUUUACUUGAUACAGGCAAUCUGGGUAGGAACACUCAAAUUACCAUAUUCAUAAUCCGAACAUGAAAUAAUAACAUGUAUUAUCCUUCAAAGCUUCUUUAUCCACUAACCCAUUGACCCAGUUGUUAGUGAACUGGAUUUUUCUGCGCGCACACACCAUUCCCAGCUCCUCUCCCGCCUUCCUCCCUGUCUCUGCAUCGCUACUGUCUCUGCUUCCUGUCUCUGCAUCACUACUGAUUCAUCUAAGCAAAAUUAUGGGCUGUUUUCAUUUCACCACUGUUUUUGCCUUGCAAAACAUCAUCAUUGUGUGUGUGCAUUUUGAGUGUUCCUGCAACUUCCUCUUUCAGGCUGAUGGGAGGGGGUCCACAUGCUCUUCUACUCCUUGCUUGCUAGCUGCAGGUAACCAGCACUUUGUAACAUCCUCUCUGCAAAGCUCACUUCAGCACCCAAUCCUUAGUUUGACACCCAAGAUUUGUUCCACUGCAGGCAACAGGACAGUUCCAUCUUACCUGGAUCGCUGGAUGAGAAUCCAUCCUGCUCAGAAAUCGGGCUGAGCCACCCUACUCCACCCCACUCCCAGCUGAUUCACUGUGGAGAGAGAUUCAUAGUGGCAUCUGGAAAUACAUCUAUCCUUGGCAGAAUAAAGGGGUGUUGAUGGGAUACCCCUCUCUCUUCAUUCUCAGUGACAUUCCAUUUCCAAUAACAGCCAGAAUUGUUUCCAUGCUUUUGUAUUAUCUCUCUGCACAUACCAGGGACCACAGAAAGUCUGUCUAGAGUGGUGCAGCAAUAAAAAUGCUACUACAUUUGCAAAGCUAAGCAGGGUCUGGUAUGGGGGAACCACAUGUUGAGAUUCUUGCAUUGCAGGGGGUAGGACUAGAUGACCCUUGGGGUCCCUUUCAACUCUACAAAUCUAUGAGUCCUCUGAACUGGUGCAGGCAGAGGUUAGGAGGUUAGCAUCAGCGACUACUAGCUGUGAUUACUAUAUUCUGCCUCCACCAUUAGAGGUAUCAUGCCUCUGAAUGCCUGUUGCUGGGAAUUGCAGGAGUACAGAGUUCUGUGGUGCUGAGGUCUUGCUUGUGGGCUUCCCAUUGUGGCACAUUGUGGAUCAGGCCAAUGGCCCAUCUAGUCCAGCUUCCUGUGGCCAGACAAAUGCCUAUGAGAAACCCACAAGCUGGACCUGAGUGUAAGAGCGCUCUCAUAAGAGAGUAGCGCAUUUCGUUGGCCACUGAGAGAAAAAGAUGCUGGACUAGAUGGGGCCAUUGGCCUGAUCCCACAGGCUCAUCUUACAUUCUCAAAAGUCUUCUAUCUGGGCCUGGGUCAACCUUGGCCUGCUUAAACUUCAAAUAAGGAAAAAGAGUCAGGAUGCUUACGUUGCUUAUUUCAAUUCUUUUACAUCGCCUUGGAGUGAGCAAUGAGGUUGGCUGUAACUGGGACCCAGAUUUCACAGCCAGAUUCUCUGGACGGCUGUGCUCCACUUUCUCUUGGCUGCUGCACCGCGAUGGAAGGCAAAGCACAUGCCCCGGCUGCUAUCAGCGGGAAGCCGUGCAGCGCGAUGGAGGAGCAGAUGGGAAGGCCCGGCUGUCUCGCUGGGAGCAAGGAACAAGCAGCCGAGCAAAGCUGCGGAAACUCCUUCGUCGUAGGUUUAAAAGAAGAGGCAGGAUAACAGGAUCAAACGUUUGCCAGAGACAGUUUUAGGUCUAGCUAAUCUCAUGCUGAACUUUGUGAUCCCUGCAUAGUUCAAAGCGUGCUGCUUAAACCUGGCUGCAAAAAAAGAAGACAGCAAGCAUAGAAUAUUGCUAAAUGAAGACGGUACGGAUGUAGCUCUCCCUGGUCCCCUGUCUCUCCUGGAUGCAGCUGCAAGAGGGGGGAAAUGAUUACUUAGCAGCAGGGUCAGUGUCAAGUAGAGUUGCCAGGUCAGGAGCAUCCCAGAGCCUGAGAGUUCAGGGCCCAAACCUGAGACAUGGAGCGGCCUCUGGUGAUGUCAUGGGCUGACAUCCAGUGAUGCCAUGGGGGCAGGCCCUGGAGACGGAGGUUAAUUGGGAGGAGCAGAGGAGGGCAGAUCGCUCUCCCAAGUGUAUUUGCUAUAACUUGCAGGCAGCGCCUGCUGGGCUGAAUUUUGCAACCUGCAUGCACAGUCUUCUUUUUAAUAUAUAUUUAUACAUCCUCUCAUUGCCUUGAACCCCUUUUGAACAGUAGUGUGAGAUAAGUGCAGUGGUGGUGGGACAAGGCAAGCAAAUCUUGGUGUAAGUUGCAAGACCGGCUGUGAAGGGACAGAAACACCCUCCCCCUAUGCCCCCAUCAGAAGCUGUCUCCAGAAGAAAGGAUCUAGAGAGGUUAGGCACUCAGAGCCACUAUUCACCCACUGCAUUGAGAAAAGAAAGAAGUCCACCAAGGUCUUUGACUUCUUAGCUAAAUGGACAGAAUCUGGAAUGCCUACCAUGAGCCGCAGAUGUCACUGUUUUAAGCUUCAUCCCAGGCAUACUUUGAAUGAGAAUUGUCUGGUAGCAAGGAACAUAAGAAAAGCCUGCUGAAUUAGGCCAGUGGCGUAUCUAGCCCAGUAUCCUGUUUGCACAGCGGCCAAUCAGAUGCCUAUUGUGGGAAUCCUCCAAGCAAGAUUUGAGCACAAAUCUCCCCUCCUGUGGCUUCCUGUGGUAUUCGGAAGCAUUGCUACCUCCAACUGUUGAGGCAGAGCAUAACCAACAUGGCUUGUAGCCACCGAUGGCCCUGUCCUCCCUGAAUUUGUCCAGUCCUCUUCUAAAUCCACCAAGAUUAGUGGCCGUCACUGUUUCCUGCAAGAGCGAGUUCCACCGUUUAACUCUGUGCUACAAUGAAGUCCUUUCUUUUAUCUGUCCCGAAUCGUCCAGCAUUCAGCUUCAUUGGAGAGCGGGUGCUGCGGCCUAAGGAGUGCUAUUUCUUACAGAAUUAAAGCCGGCCGUCUCGUUUGUUUUACUUUUUAGAAGAAGAACUAUGGGAAAUUAGGGGGAGAAAAGGUGGCCUUUGCAAAUAUGGAACUAGCAAAAAUGCAGAGAAGUACAGGUGUCCGCUCUGAGGAGGAGGAGGAGGCUGGAUAAGGAGGAUGGCAGAGCACAUUUGAAGCCAUCUGUCAGCUUCUAAUUAUCAAAAUGGCAGGGCUUCCUGAGCCCCUUUUGCUGAAAUCAAAGCUGAGGUCAGGGGGUUGCGGGGAGGCGGAGAGGCUGUGCACAUUACCAGCUUAAGAUGCAGUGAGGUCGUUCCCCACCGCUGCUGCUGCAUUUCAAAUGGCAUUUGCAUGUUGGCAUAUGCGUCAGUUGUGUUGUGUGUGUUUCCUUGUUUCCCACUGUCUGUCCAUGCACAAGUGGGCAGAAAGAUAUAGGAUAACAGCAUCAUAGAGUUGGGAGGGUCAUUUAGUCCAGCCCCCUGCAAUGCAGGAGUCACAGCUAAAGAAUCCCAGACAGGUGGCCUUCCAACGUUUGCUUAAAAACCUCCAAGGAAGGAGAGUCCACCGCCUUCCAAGGGAGUCCAUCCUGUUGCCGAACAUAAAGUUAUUCCUAAAGUUUAGUCAGAAUCUCCUUUCUUAUCAUCUGAAUCCAUUUGUUCAGGUCCUACCCUCCGGAGCAGGAGAAAACAAGCUCGCUGCAUCUUCUAUGAGAUAGCCCUUUAGAUGUCUAAGGUUUGUGUUCUCAAAUCGGAUUGAAGCUGGUUUGCGGUGGGGAGGGCACACACCAAAACACAGUGUGGAUUGUGUCAUGUGAAAGCAGAUUCAAAUGGGAGAGUGCUGGAGAAGGAGUAAUGUGUACCCAGUGGCCUUAGUCAUGCUUAUAUUAGAACCACUAAAAUUAGGGUUGUCGUUAUGUCCUCUUUUCCCAGGAUACAUCUUUUUUUCAUGGGUAGAUUCGUCAUAGUGAUCCAUAGUUAACAGCAUAAGUCGGCAAAUGUGCCCUCUUUUUUGCUCUUCAAAAUAUGGCAACCCUAUUAUUAAGUCCUAUUGAGUGUGACAGAUCUACUGAACAUUAGUCUGGUUCCAGUCCAUUAUUACAAAAAGAAAUAAAAAAUAAAAAAGGACUAGUUCUUUAUUUUGAGCUCUCAGCAGGGCUAAGAAAGUUCCCUGCCUCUUUCAACCAGCCUAGUGGUCGAGACAUUACUUCCAGAAUGAAGCAAAACAAGCAACACCAAAAUAAAAGAAAUCGGAGAAAGAAGUUCAUUGGUGGGGUGGGGGUGGAUAAAAGAGUUAUUAUAAAUUUUUUUAUCCCACCCUCCCUCAGAAACUAUCAGAGGAGCCCACUCAUAGUCAAUUAACUCAACAAAUAACCCCAGAUGAAUAGACAACAAUAUUCCAGUGAAAUCUUACAAACCACCCAGACCCCAGCAAGUCCAGACAGCUGACAUUUGGGAGGGUUUUUUUUUUUUUUUGACUGGCGUAUGUUGCUGACCUUAUCAAGCCUCCUCAGACGGGAAUUUUCUCAAAGCGGAAGCAGGCAAAUGACAAGAUUUCUUUGUUGCUUUCUCUGAGCCAAGAGAAGUCGGAAAGGGCAGAGGGAGGACAGAAACAGGGUUCUUCAUGGCAUGAAUAUAUGCCUAUAUCUAUGAAGAAUCUCCAUUAAAAAGAAUUUUUUUUAAUGGGUUGGAUGCUCUAGGACAGGGUCAGGGGAACUUGUUCAACAGGUUAAUCAAGGCUCCCUUUUAACUGAUCAGAUUUGCACCCAGGGUGAUUGUCUCUCUUUCCUGGAUGGAAGUCCCCUUUGUACUCACAUCUAGACUGUUGAGGUUCUGCCAACACCAGAAGGCAUGCCACUGAGACAGCAUAACCACUUCUUGUUGGAAGGUAUCCGAGACUUCCGCACUGAAGAAGCAAACCAGACUUGGGUCCAGUCAGGGCCUGGAUAGUGACUUUAUGGGAAUCUCAUUCACGCUGCCUUGAAUUCCACAAAGGAAACCCAGAAAUGGGUCUACAAGAUAUGUAAUCACCUACAUCGCUACAGAUAUGGAUGUUGUGACUGUGUUUCCUUCUUCAUACUUUGAGAAGGUGAUCUUGCUGUGGAUGGUUGCUUCUGUACAACCCUAAGAACACAAGAAGAGCCUGUUCCUGGAUCAGGCCACUGGCCCAUCUAGUCCAGCAUCCAUUUCUCACAGUCGCCAACCAGGUGGCCGUGGGAAGCCCGCAAGCAGGAUUCAAGCACCAGAGGACUCCCCCUUCCUGAAGCUUCCAUCAACUGGUAUCCAGCAGCAUUGCUGCCUCUGACUGUAGACGCAGACCAUAGCCAUUGUUCAUUCUGCAUUAAUUUUGAUUUUGCAACCCUGGGAAGAGUUUGCUAGAACAGCCACUGGCAAGUUUCUCUACCUGCCUUGUCCCACCCCCUACAGGGGGGGCAGGUAUUGUUUGUGGCUCUUUUGUACUUUAUUCUUGGGAUUUGUUUUACAUGUUUAUUGACAUGAGAUGUCCGUUUGCCCUAUUGAUAUUAGCGUGGCUUUUUGCUGUGGCUCUUUUUUGCAAUUGUUUGUUCAUUAUCUUGGAAUGUCGCUAUAUUUUAUGCUGUGUGUUGUUCUGAGCCACUUUGAACAUGGCUCUGCCAUAGGGAAGUGGCAUGCAAAUAAACUCACCAUGCUGAUGAGCAUCUUUACUUUAUUCCAAGACCUCCACCAUUUAAAAAAUAUAUAUUGGUUUUCUUUGGCAAUACCAAGACACCUGUGUUACCAGUCCCAGAGACCGGUGUUGCUACUAGGGAUCUCCAAAGCACUGCCUGGCACACAGUGGAGACUGGAGAGAGAGGAAUAUUGUUUUGCUCUGUCCUUCUUUUUAUGAGGAGUGAGGAAGGCAGGCAGCAGGCAGGGGAGAACAGAAGUUCUGCUUCAUUUGGCCUCUAAUAAGAUUAGUGUCUGUUCUGCCGAUCAGGUGACCAGGAGCUGUCUGUCUCUCUUUCUGUGUGUGUGUGUACAGAGAGCUGCACACAUGUGGUGCACUAGGGUUUCCUGGCUCCUACUUCUCCUUAUAUGGUGUGAAGCUUAAGGAAGCUGCCGAUUGGCUGGUCCAGCAGACACCCCAGAGGUAGCAAGAAAGAGGGUGACAAGAAGGAAAGAAGAGAGAGGGAGCAAUCGAGGGUCUUGAAUGGCAGAUGACAAGGAAUCUGGGUGCAUCACAUGCUCUGGAAAAAACAACAACAACAACCCAAAAUGUGUCAAGCAAAUUGCAGCUGUUUAUAGAGAGCCUCCCCACCAUUGCCACUCUCAGCAAGGCUGCACACUGGCUGUUUCUGAUGCCAGUAAGGAAAGUGAGCCAAAUCCAAACUGCUCUGCACCAGGUCCCCCUCACCACCACCAUCUCCACCUCCCCCUUUCCUAAAUGUGACGGUACUGUGGAUGUCGUACAAUGAACCACUGCCGGAAUGUCCGCCGUAUCUCUGCCGCACUGCUGGGUGCCUCCGUUACAUAAUGGAAUAAAAUGCAACCCGUUGUUAGCAAAUCAAAAACGACGGAGCCCUGCGAAGAGACAUUGCAAGCGUCUCCUACCAGGAACGGCUGUCUCUUGUCACGCCGAUGAGGCAGCCGAGGCUGUGGGGAGGUUUAUCAAUGCUCUUGGCGGAGAGAGUUGAGAGAGCGUUGCCAGAGGCAAACACAUAUGUGUAGUGCUGUCCCAUUGUUGGCCCGCUGUUAGGGCGCCGCACUCAGCGCUGCAGAAUGCACAUUUCCAAGGUGAUGGAGGCAGAAUGACAUUCAUGACACCCGGGACAGCUGGCAAAACGUUCAAGCAGCUGGGGUGACUGCCCUAUAAGGAAAAGCUGCAACUUUUUGAGAAAAGGCACGAAAGAGGAGACCUUCUCAUACAACACUACGAUUCGUGGAAGCUGAAUGUUGGAAGAUAAAAAGAAGCCCUUCUUCGCUCAGCGCAUUGUUAAACUAUGGAACUCCCUCCCACAAGAGGUAGUGGUGAUUUUGAAUACCAGUUUUGGGAAACCAGAGGAGGAGAGAGUUUCCCUGUGUUCAGAUCCUGAUUGCUGGUUUCCCAUUGGGGCAUCUGAACGGCAACUGUGAUAACAGGAUGCUGAACCAGUUGGGAGAGCCAGGCUCUGUUUAUGUUUGCACUGUAGCAAGGGACACAGGUGGCACUGUGGGUUAAACCACAGAGCCUAGGGCUUGCCAAUCAGAAGGUCGGCGGUUUGAAUCCCCACGAUGGGACGGGGUGAGCUCACAACCUCCCUAGGGCAGGGGUCUGCAACCUUUAAGACAAAAAGAGCCACUUGGACCCAUUUCCGAAGAAAAAAAAACUGGGAGCCGCAAAACUCGUCAUUAUAAAAAUAACUUUUUUGUCACUUUUUUUAUUAUUUCUUUGUUUGACCCC
Non-coding RNA from Podarcis lilfordi (Lilford's wall lizard), 8152 nucleotides. The record is from the annotation of a GenBank genome assembly. Lineage: Eukaryota; Metazoa; Chordata; Lepidosauria; Squamata; Lacertidae.